This 66-nucleotide transfer RNA is filed under the name Deielia phaon. RNAcentral's name for it is "tRNA-Leu". The record is from RNAcentral. Lineage: Eukaryota; Metazoa; Arthropoda; Insecta; Odonata; Libellulidae.
ACUAUUUUGGCAGAAAAGUGCCAUGAAUUUAGAAUUCAUUAAUGUAAGAAAUUCUUACAGAUAGUA